This 364-nucleotide ribosomal RNA is filed under the name uncultured rumen bacterium. Its description in RNAcentral is "partial 16S ribosomal RNA". The record is from RNAcentral.
UAUUCCCCACUGCUGCCUCCCGUAGGAGUCUGGGCCGUAUCUCAGUCCCAAUGUGGCCGUUCAACCUCUCAGUCCGGCUACUGAUCGCAGCCUUGGUAGGCCGUUACCCUACCAACUAGCUAAUCAGACGUGAGCCCAUCCCUCAGCGGAUUUCUCCUUUGGUAUUCAGAUGAUGCCACCCGAAUACGUCAUGCGGUAUUAGCAGUCGUUUCCAACUGUUGUCCCCCUCUGAAGGGCAGGUUGCUCACGCAUUACUCACCCGUUCGCCACUCAGUCAAAGAAGAACUUUGACGAAUCCCCAUUCUUCAGUGCUUCGUUCGACUUGCAUGUGUUAGGCAUGCCGCCAGCGUUCAUCCUGAGCCAA